GGGGAUGUAGCUCAUAUGGUAGAGCGCUCGCUUCGCAUGCGAGAGGUACGGGUAUCGAUAACUCGCAUCUCCA
This is a transfer RNA of Ipomoea nil (Japanese morning glory), 73 nucleotides long. It matches the Rfam family "tRNA". From Rfam's summary of the family: Transfer RNA (tRNA) molecules are approximately 80 nucleotides in length. Their secondary structure includes four short double-helical elements and three loops (D, anti-codon, and T loops). Lineage: Eukaryota; Viridiplantae; Streptophyta; Magnoliopsida; Solanales; Convolvulaceae. The record is from Rfam.